This 164-nucleotide ribosomal RNA is filed under the name uncultured bacterium. RNAcentral describes it as "partial 16S ribosomal RNA". It matches the Rfam family "Bacterial small subunit ribosomal RNA", at positions 355 to 511 of the family's 1533-position model. The record is from RNAcentral.
UAGGGAAUCUUCCACAAUGGGCGAAAGCCUGAUGGAGCAACGCCGCGUGUGUGAUGAAGGGUUUCGGCUCGUAAAACACUGUUGUAAGAGAAGAAUGACAUUGAGAGUAACUGUUCAAUGCGUGACGGUAUCUUACCAGAAAGGAACGGCUAAAUACGUGCCAG